Molecule: ribosomal RNA, 1411 nt
Filed under: Aplastodiscus ehrhardti (Ehrhardt's snouted treefrog)
Lineage: Eukaryota; Metazoa; Chordata; Amphibia; Anura; Hylidae
Description: partial 16S ribosomal RNA
Rfam family: Bacterial large subunit ribosomal RNA
Source: RNAcentral
GCCAAAAAUCUAGCCCCCCCCAAAUUCUAAUGUACCCUCUUUCCUAUUCUCAUAACCCAAAACAUUUUAAUGAUCUAGUAAAGGUGAUAAAAAAAUUUAUCGGAGCUAUACUGACAGUACCGUAAGGGAAAGCUGAAAUAGAAAUUAAAUAAACAAUUAAGCACAGAAAAGUAAAGAUUUAACCUUGUACCUUUUGUAUUAUGGCUUAACUAGUCUUAAUCAAGCAAAAUGAAUUUAAGUUUGCCCCCCCGAAACUAGGCGAGCUACUCCAAGGCAACUUUAAGAGCUAACCCGUCUCUGUCGCAAAAGAGUGGGAGGACCUUCGAGUAGAGGUGACAGACCAACCGAGCCUAGAGAUAGCUGGUUACCCAAUAAAAGAACCUUAGUUCAACCUAAAGCCAGAUAAUGAAUUUAAACACCUUCUACUUUAGAGCUAUUCAAAUAAGGUACAGCUUGUUUGAAACAGGAUACAACCUUAACUAACGGGUUAUUAUUCUAGCAAUGCACCAAAGUAGGCCUAAAAGCAGCCAUCUUUAAAAUAGCGUCAAAGCUUACCUGCCUUUACAAUUAAUUUCUAAAAAUUUUCCUAACCCUUUUCCACCACUGGGUGAUUCUAUAACCUUAUAGAGCCCAUUAUGUUAAGACUAGUAACAAGAAGUAACCCCUUCUCUUUAAUGUAAGUAUAAAUCAGAAAGGAUAAUCCACUGACUAUUAACAUGCAUGACUCUUAAUUAGAAACAUCACAAGAAAACCCUAAUAUUUUUAAUGUUAACCUAACACAAGAGCAUUUCAAGAAAGAUUUAAAAUAAAGGAAGGAACUCAGCAAACAUCAACCCCGCCUGUUUACCAAAAACAUCGCCUCUUGAACCACAAUAAGAGGUCCAGCCUGCCCAGUGACCCAAUUCAACGGCCGCGGUAUCCUAACCGUGCGAAGGUAGCGUAAUCACUUGUUCUUUAAAUGAGGACUAGUAUGAACGGCACCACGAGAGUUGUACUGUCUCCCCUUUUUAAUCAGUGAAACUAAUCUCCUCGUGAAGAAGCGGGGAUUUAUUUAUAAGACGAGAAGACCCUAUGGAGCUUUAAACAAGUUAACACCUACUGCCACACAACAUUAUAUAAAGCAAAGUAGAACAUCAGCAUGUUUUUGAUUGGGGCGAUCACGGAGCAAAAAAUAACCUCCAUGACAUAUGGGACUAACCCCCUGAGCAAUAAGCCACAACUUUAUGCACUAUAAAAUUAAUGUCUCUUGACCCAAUAAUUUGAUCAACGAACCAAGUUACCCUAGGGAUAACAGCGCAAUCCAUUUCAAGAGCUCCUAUCGACAAGUGGGUUUACGACCUCGAUGUUGGAUCAGGGUGUCCUAGUGGUGCAGCCGCUACUGAGGGUUCGUUUGUUCAACGAUUAAAACCCU